This 461-nucleotide ribosomal RNA is filed under the name uncultured Pseudomonas sp. RNAcentral's name for it is "bacterial SSU rRNA". It matches the Rfam family "Bacterial small subunit ribosomal RNA", at positions 8 to 472 of the family's 1533-position model. Lineage: Bacteria; Pseudomonadati; Pseudomonadota; Gammaproteobacteria; Pseudomonadales; Pseudomonadaceae. The record is from RNAcentral.
AGAGUUUGAUCCUGGCUCAGAUUGAACGCUGGCGGCAGGCCUAACACAUGCAAGUCGAGCGGUAGAGAGAAGCUUGCUUCUCUUGAGAGCGGCGGACGGGUGAGUAAUGCCUAGGAAUCUGCCUGGUAGUGGGGGAUAACGCUCGGAAACGGACGCUAAUACCGCAUACGUCCUACGGGAGAAAGCAGGGGACCUUCGGGCCUUGCGCUAUCAGAUGAGCCUAGGUCGGAUUAGCUAGUUGGUGAGGUAAUGGCUCACCAAGGCGACGAUCCGUAACUGGUCUGAGAGGAUGAUCAGUCACACUGGAACUGAGACACGGUCCAGACUCCUACGGGAGGCAGCAGUGGGGAAUAUUGGACAAUGGGCGAAAGCCUGAUCCAGCCAUGCCGCGUGUGUGAAGAAGGUCUUCGGAUUGUAAAGCACUUUAAGUUGGGAGGAAGGGCAGUAAAUUAAUACNUUGC